CCUACGGGAGGCAGCAGUUUCGAAUCGUUCACAAUGGGGGCAACCCUGAUGGCGCGACGCCGCGUGGGGGAUGAAGGUCUUCGGAUUGUAAACUCCUGUCAUUGGGGACUAAUGGCCAGGCUCAUACCCUGGUUUGAAUUAACCCAAAGAGGAAGCAGUGGCUAACUCUGUGCCAGCAGCCGCGGUAAUACAGAGACUGCAAGCGUUACUCGGAUUCACUGGGCGUAAAGGGAGCGCAGGCGGACUCAUGUGUCGGACGUGAAAUACCGGGGCUUAACCCCGGUGCUGCGUCCGAAACUAUGAGUCUAGAGACUUGGAGGGGUAAGCGGAAUUCUUGGUGGAGCAGUGAAAUGCGUAGAUAUCAAGAGGAACACCAACGGCGAAGGCAGCUUACUGGACAAGAUCUGACGCUCAGGCUCGAAAGCGUGGGGAGCAAAAGGGAUUAGAUACCCCUGUAGUCCACGCUGUAAACGGUGCGCAUUAGGUCUUGGAGCUUUCGAACGCUCCAGGGCUCAAGCUAACGCGAUAAAUGCGCCGCCUGAGGACUUACGGCCGCAAGGCUAAAACUUAAAUUAAUUGACGG
RNAcentral lists this ribosomal RNA (583 nucleotides) under uncultured bacterium. RNAcentral describes it as "bacterial SSU rRNA". It matches the Rfam family "Bacterial small subunit ribosomal RNA", at positions 338 to 916 of the family's 1533-position model. The record is from RNAcentral.